Long non-coding RNA from Macrobrachium nipponense, 1364 nucleotides. RefSeq lists it as uncharacterized. Lineage: Eukaryota; Metazoa; Arthropoda; Malacostraca; Decapoda; Palaemonidae. The transcript has 5 exons. The record is from RefSeq and is a predicted model, not a curated record.
CUCAGUUGAGUCUUACAUCAAGAUUUCACUCUGUUACCGCCAACCAACAGAGAGCUCUGUUGCUAGACCUCUAGACCUAUAGUAUUAUUCAAGCCUUGGAUAAGCUCCUCUCGUAGGACUGAAGCUGGAAAUUCAAGCGCAAGGUGGCAAGGUUUUGUGGCCUCCUAUUGCUUGCUCUGAUCUUCGCGACAGGGGUUCGAGUCGACGCUGAAGAAAAAGGCGUCUUCAGGACAUCUGGUGACGCGAAAGUGAGCAUCACCCUCCCGACGGAGGAGUCUACCUCGACGCUGCUCUUCUGGGCAGAGUCUCCCAACACGACGGCCAUUUUGAAUACAUUCGUCCAAUUUCCUUACCAAUUCGGUGUCAGAGUCAGUCAGACCCACAUCUGGCAGAUUGCUUAUCUGUAUCAGCCGGCAUCGUCACCCACGAACCGGUCUUCUAUCGGUGUGCCCUCCUGCAUGAAGUACAGGACGUCCACUGGAUGUUCUGUGGCAUCCACGCUUGUAAACUCCAACCGCCGUCAGCCACUUCCUCCGGAACUCCCACUGGCUACCUGUUCGAAGCCCUCAUCGGGGUCUCCGCCCUUUGCGUGCUCCUGAUGGUCGCCAUUGUGGCCCUUCUGGUCCCCCGCCGUCGGCAGAAAAAGGAGGAAAAUCCCUACGAGAAUUAAAACUCUUUUGCAGGGGGCUGAGCAAGAUGGAGUUCCUCACUUCUCCUCCUGUAGGUUAUGUGACGUACCCAACGCCAACACCCUGGAAUACUAUAGCCUGGAAUGUCCACUUGUUAGUGACAUAUUACCCCAAAGACUCACAGUAGUUGAUAUGUGUAUGUAAAAAAUUAUUGACAGAUAAUAAUUUGCUCGAUUUGAUCCUCAUGCGCCAUCCUCACUUUGGUGGAUACUGAAUAAUCAGCUGUUUUGUAAUACUAAUUAAAGAUAGGUACAACCUACCUACGAAAUCAAACUAAAUUUAAUUUGUAUUCCAUAUGAAUUCAUUUGUAUAACUUUAAUAUAUAGAAAUGAGCAAUAUUAUUUUCAAUAUGUACUAAAUAUCUGUCUAUACUUUAUUUUGUAUUCCUUUGUGUAACCUUCAUUAUGUGCUGUAGAUGUAAACAAUACUGUUUUGAUAUGUACUUAAAUGUCUGUAUAUACUUUAUUUUUUUAUUUUGUUUUUUCUUUAGGCAUAACUUAAUUACAAUGUAGAUGUAAACAAUAUUACUGUAUUACCAUGUACUCAAAUGUCUGACGCCAAUGGGCGCAAUAAAUUGAUUAAAACAAAAAAAUCUAUCUGUCCAGAUUCCGUCAGCUAGGCCUAGGCAUUAUUAUUUUUAGAUUAAGAUGAAUGAUAAUAAGCAUUGUUAUGUCU